UCGGAUCGUCCCUGUCACUGAUACAUCGUAAGCCAAACUCUCUUUUGCUCAGGGGGGCAAUUGCACAGAAAUCGAACUAGAGCGAGGGAGCAAGCUGUGCAGACGUUCCAGGCGAAGAGAGAUUUUUCACUUAUUCACCCUGUCUAGUUCUUGAAACAUGAUGUUUUGAGCUGUUUGCUUCUGGAAACACAGGGAUCAAAGGAAACAGGGGACCACAUGGAGUCCGUCCUCUGAGAGAUGACGGGAGGUGUGCAGCCCACAGUGAUGGGAGUUUCACACAACAGCUGGGAAUCUCCCCUCCUCCCUGUGGCCCGAAGGAUGCUGCACCAGGAUUUGGAAAAUCUAGAAUUGAAUUGUGUCUCUUUGGUUGAGAAAUGAAGGAAGAGCUAAGUGCUCCCAGGAAGCUAAUCAGGGGAAGAGCCAUAGGGGAAGCUUCUUCAGCGGGACCUUUUGCAUCUUACCUUCGACACAAGUGUAUCAUCCACUGGCCGUGAAGCCUUGUUU
Long non-coding RNA from Prionailurus viverrinus (fishing cat), 504 nucleotides. RefSeq lists it as uncharacterized. The transcript has 4 exons. The record is from RefSeq and is a predicted model, not a curated record. Lineage: Eukaryota; Metazoa; Chordata; Mammalia; Carnivora; Felidae.